GGUUACCGGGAGCUGGAUGGCAGGUUCUAGAAGCGCUGUCGUAACUUGAGACGCAGUUGCGAAAGGUAAGUGGCCUCCUUUUCAAUGAGGAACUUGUUUACAUUCAGCGGCAUAAUUACAACCCACAUUCCGAAAUGGGAACUUGUUUGGCGCGCACGGAGGCAAUUGUAAAAAUGUGCUUUUGCCGUCAACGUGACGUCAUGGCACGUUUACUUUUAUGAUUGACUUCGAAUGGCCCUUCUAUGUUAUGAAGGCAACAACCCAAAUUACGCACGGCCUCAUACGAAGUGCGCAGUUGCCAUGCAGCGUGUUUUCCUUACCUUACCCGGAAAACAAGGCUCGGCUGCCCGCUUUCAAAUGUGCCCGAGCACUUUUUCGUGUUCCAGGUUGAGAUGACGACUCGAGGUGGCGCUGGAUCGAUGCUCGCUGCGAGAGGAUGUUGCGCACUUCUAUUUACUUCACGUGUGAGAGCUUGGUAAAACGCUGCACUGCGUAGGAUUCAACUGAUGAUGCUUGACUUUAUUUAUCUCUAAAUUUCACUUCGGAUAAUAUGCGUUUCAUAAAAAACAAAAAAAAUCCAUGUAAAAGUUACCAAAUGAUGACCUUAAAUUUACAUUUAAAUCUCACUUGUCCUAUUGUCAUUUCCUCUAACAAGCCAUAUGAACAUAUGACAAUAUGAAGUUACUUGCCGUCCCAUUUGAUGGAGUGGGAGCGAAUGCAUGACUCGAUUUUUAUUUGAUUUCUUUAUUUUUUAACACACAUUAAUGAAUUAUCCCCAAAGUUGUUAUUUUAUAUUAAUUUCGCCGUAUAGAUGCGGUUUUGGUAGUUGAUAAACCCAAAAUGCUGCUGUGCGCAGGCCCUGGAUCAUAUCCAUCCAUCCAGAGGUUUCUGUCAUACGCACUUUUUAUUCCUGAUGUAAACAAAGCCUUCUUGGUGCGUUACGCUUAAUGAACACCAAGUGGCGCUCUUUGCUUCAGAUCUUCCACUGAGCCCUCAUCUGCUUGAGUAACCGGCAUUUAACACUGCACAUCAGUUUCAACAAUGUAUGUGACGUCAUAUCUGAAACGUGACGACUCGACAUAGUCAAAAUAAAAAUAAAGGAAGCCAUUAUUAAAGAUGAUGUAAGGAUGGAUGCUAAUAUGUCGAAUAAGAAGAGCAAGACAAGCUACUUCUGAGCUGCUCUCCACUUUCGAGAAGGUGAGCAGAUAGCAGUAGUUGUUCAUAUGAAAGUGGAAAUACCAGAAUUUUGAAGUACGUCAGAACCUGCAAUUGUUUCUGCAUAAAUGUCAUUUUGGCCUUUCCGGGACUUUGAAGCCAGAGUGAGGAAAUGUUGAAAUCUACUGCACACUGUUUGUCAUGUCUUGGAAUAAUAACGGGUUUUCCUCUGGAAUCUGCGAAAGAGGGUGUGGGUGGUGAGAAGGUGUGUGUGGAGGGGGUCUCUGACACUUGUUUUCAUUCACAGUGUGCAUAUUUUGAACAUGAGCGGAUAACACCAGAUGAGAGCUGGUUUAAAUUUAACCCAGGUAAGCAGCCAUAUUUGUUUGUUUAAAUUCACUGAAUCCUCUUUGUGUCUUUGUGCGUAUCAGUGAAGUGGACCAAGAUCGUAAUUAAGCUUUGGGAAGUGGCAUUGGCACAGCUGAUACGUAGAUGACGUGGCUAAGACUAAUGCAACCUCCACUGAAUGGAGGAGGAACAGCACUUUGUUGGGUUUGACCUACGGCGGUUUCUUGUCAGCGUGGGCUCCCGUAUCUUUCGGUUGCCGUGGGGAGCAGGACGUCACAGGCGUUACCAGGGGGAAAUGCAGCAUGCUUGGUGAAGGCAUUCAAAGGAGAUGCACUGGUUUCAUGUUAAAAAAAAGUACAAAGCUUUUGAAACACUUGCUGCAGGAAGCCAAAGAGAGAUUGCCCACCAGAGAAACUGGAAAGCUUCCGCCAUUGAAAUCUGACAAUCUGCGGAGUAGCGGAGACGGCGAGGCGGCAUUCGUGUCCGAUGAGGCCAGAUGUGGAGCUGGACGGUGGCGUCUUAUGUUCUUGCCCGAUGUUUGUGCUUUUUCACUUUGGAUCGAGUAUCAGAACGUAAGAAGUGGGUGUGUUACAUUAGUGAGAGGCAUUCUGAUGCCUUCUCAGCAGUUCUCCAUGCCAUCUCUCUUGAACCACAUCCCCUGGUCAAUAAUGGGCCUCUCCCUUUUUGCAAUGCUUUGUAUUCUAUACACUCAAACGCCACGAUAUUAAGUAUACUGUAUCUGCGCAAUAUAGUCUAAUGUAACAUGUAUUUAAUUGUAGUUUGAAAUGGUAUAGAAUUGCAGUGCAUCAUAUUGAGAGCUGUUUCUAAUAUUGUGGUUAUUUAGCUUCACAAGAGGGGCCUCCUAAUCUAUGCAAAAUACUUGAAUACUGUAGAUAAUGGAAUUAGGUUUGACUGCACCCUCGUCCGAUUCCCUAGGGUGAUGGUAAAAGGGAAAGCCAGUUGUGUGAAUCACAAAGCCAUAGAUAGAUGUACUUUAUAAAUCCUAAGUUGGAUCGUAGUAAUAACUGCUAGGGUCAAAGGGGUUGGAGUAGUUAACAAGAAGCUUCUAAGUUGCACUUCCUGGUGCAAGCAUGGGGAGAGGGUCGUUCGUAUGCUCAUUCAGCAUGUUGAAAUGUUUGGUUAAGUUUAUUAAACACUCAUUCACUGCCAGCCCUCUCAGUUAAAAUGCAUAUUUGACCUACAGUGCUGUCAAAAAAUAUUGCCCCCUUCUCAAAUUCUUAAAUGUUUGCAUAGUUUCCCCACUUUAAUGUUUAAGAUCAUCAAACAAAUGUAAAUAUCAGACAAAGAUAAUACAGGUGAACACAAAAUGCUGUUUUUAAAUGGUGAUUUUAUUGAUUAAGGGUGAAGAAAAAAAACUAUUCAAAGUUACCUGGUCCUGUGUGAAAAAGUAAUGGACCACUAAGCCUAAUGAGGGGUGGGCCACCCUGUGCAGCAACACCACCAUUUAAAAACACAAUUUUAUGGUUAUUUUUGUUUGAUGAUCUGUUUAUGAAUGUGGGAAGAAAACCCACACAAGCACCAUUAGACUCCACACAUAAAGGCUUAAAUUUAGAUUUGUACCAAGAACCUAAAUGCUCCCGAGAAGCCCUUAAUGAAAAUAUGUAACACAGAAUUGUUAUUGAAAAACUACAGUAUACUGUAUGUUUAAUGUGUUUAAUUCAUUUUGUCCCCUCUUAUCCUACCUUUUAAGGAAGGCCUGGCUGUCUUCUGAAGAAGAAAAUUGCUUGCCUUGUCAUCGAAAGGUGCCAGUUUGCCAAUUUUCAGAAUUGUUUUAUCAUCUCUCUUCAAGAUUCAAUAGUCAAGGCUGUUUUACCCCAUAGCUGGAUGUUGUUUCCUGUCAGAAA
Phycodurus eques (leafy seadragon) is the source of this 3368-nucleotide long non-coding RNA. RefSeq lists it as uncharacterized. Lineage: Eukaryota; Metazoa; Chordata; Actinopteri; Syngnathiformes; Syngnathidae. The record is from RefSeq and is a predicted model, not a curated record. The transcript is spliced from 3 exons.